AGAGAGAGAGAGAGAGAGAGGAAAGUCCGAGUGAAUCCUCCAUUGUUGUCGGUUGUAGGUGAGAAAAUAGCUGUGUUUAACAUUACUCGCCAAUUGUCAACAUCUCCAUAUCCACACGGUUGAAAAGUCGCAUGCAUUUCCGUUUUCGAUUACUACUCUGCAAGAAGAAGGGGAGAGAGAGGUACAACACAGAUAGAGAGACCUACCGCCUCAGCCUCCUGACACGUGAAGCUCUUAAUUGCUUGCACCUGCAAAAACCAACACUACCCACAUCUUCCAAAACCUGUAUUUACCUCGCUUUCUGUCACUCUUGCUUCUCCUCCUCUACCUGUCUCUGUUUUUGCAGCUAAUGCUGUCUCAGAUUUUAUUCAAUAUCUCUAUUUAAUUCCCCAAUUCUUUCCCUUUACAAUACACCCUUUUCUCUAUUUAAUAAUACCCACCAUUCAAUUUUGCAUACUUCUCCACUUUCUUUAGCUUUUUCGCAUCUCUCUCAAUCCGCGACCGUGAUUUAUACCCCCAUGCACGGUUACAGCCGCCUCGGCAAUGGCCACUCCGUCACUGCAACCACCACGCCCUCUCCCCCCUCCUCUCCUCGCCUUCGCCACAGCCGGGGCAAGUCUGGUGGGAAUGGUGGAGGUUCUGGAGGUGGUAGUGGCGCUGGCGGCUGCGGUCGUGGCUCCAAACGGAAUUGGGUGGAGAGGUUAAUGUUUGUACUUGUGUCUUUGGUUUUUAAGCGGAGAGGUGUGCUUUUGUUUGCGCCUUUGUUGUACAUUUCUGGGAUGAUGUUGUAUAUGGGAUCUUUGAAUUUUGACGUAGAUUUGAAGAAUGGCGGUGUUGUUGUACGGAAGCGUCCUCCGCCGGGGUCUGUAUACAGAAGUCCGCAGGUUUUUAAGAAUCUGUGGCCGCAUAUGGAGGCUAAGAGCAAUAGAAGCUACAAUGCGCUGAUGAGAGCAUGGGAUCCCAAACUUCAUAAAGGUUGGAAACCUUGUGGCAACAACAAUAUUUCUGAAGCAGAAUUGCCAAAGUCUAAUGGUUUUCUUAUAAUUGAAGCAAAUGGUGGCUUGAAUCAACAACGUUUAUCGAUAUGCGAUGCAGUUGCUGUGGCAGGACUACUGAAUGCUACUCUUGUCAUUCCAAUUUUUCAUUUAAACAGUGUUUGGCAAGAUUCCAGCAAAUUUGGAGAUAUAUUUGAUCAAGAUUUCUUUAUACACGCGCUUAAGAAUGAUGUGGAUGUAGUUCCAGAACUCCCAAGAGAAGUACUUGACCAGUUUGACAAUAAUAUAAGUAGUAUUGUAAAUUUGAGAGUAAAAGCGUGGUCCAGUACAGCCUACUAUCUUCAGAAAGUGCUUCCAAAGCUGAUGGAGAUGCGGGCAGUUCGCAUUGCCCCUUUCUCCAAUAGACUGGCUCAAGCAGUUCCUCCAGAUAUCCAGAGGCUUAGAUGCUUAGCCAAUUUUGAAGCACUGAGGUUUUCAGAACCUAUAAGAACUCUGGCAGAGAAAAUGGUUGAUAGGAUGUUUAAGAAUAGUUCCCAGAGUGGGGGGAAAUAUGUUUCUGUGCAUCUUCGGUUUGAAAUGGAUAUGGUUGCAUUUUCAUGCUGCGAGUAUGAUGGUGGAGAGGAAGAGAAACAUGAAAUGGAUAUUGCUCGAGAAAGAGCCUGGAGAGGAAAAUUCAGGAGAAGAGGUAGAGUAAUAAGGCCAGGAGCAAAUCGUGUGGAUGGAAAAUGCCCUUUAACUCCACUAGAGGUGGGAAUGAUGCUUAGGGGCAUGGGCUUUGAUAAUAACACUUCAGUUUAUGUUGCGGCGGGUAAUAUUUAUAAAGAGGACAAAUUCAUGGCUCCACUUAAACAGAUGUUUCCACGUUUAGAAACAAAAGAUACGCUAGCUACUGCAGAAGAACUUGCUCCAUUUAAGGGCUACUCAUCUAGGUUGGCUGCUCUGGAUUAUACGGUCUGCCUGCACAGUGAAGUCUUUGUCACAACUCAAGGUGGAAAUUUUCCCCACUUUUUGAUGGGUCAUAGGCGUUAUUUGUAUGGAGGUCAUGCAAAGACGAUUAAACCUGACAAAAGAAAAUUGGCUCUCUUAUUUGAUAAGCCCAAUAUCAGGUGGGAAGUCUUCAGGCAGCAGAUGCAAGACAUGCAUCGACGCAGUGAUCUCAAAGGAUCUGAACUGAGAAAGCCCAGUGCAUCACUUUACACAUUCCCUAUGCCUGAUUGCAUGUGCAAAUCACCCAAAGCAAGACAUGGAGACACCAAUAAGACAACAAAACUGAAGCUCUAGCCAGGUGAUAGUUUCUGGAGUUAUAGAAUUGUUAUACGUGUAAUUUUUUUGGUGUAUCAUGAAAAUUAACGAGCAGAAAAGAGUGUCAUUAGAUUUUAUUCUUUGAGAAGGGCUGGAGGAGAACAUUACAGGUUUAUUCAUCAAUGUUCAUUACCUCGCCUAUGAUUGGAAUGUUGUCCUCAAUUUCACUGUAAAUG
RNAcentral lists this unclassified non-coding RNA (2473 nucleotides) under Hevea brasiliensis (rubber tree). Lineage: Eukaryota; Viridiplantae; Streptophyta; Magnoliopsida; Malpighiales; Euphorbiaceae. The record is from RNAcentral.